AUACGUAGGUGGCGAGCGUUAUCCGGAAUUACUGGGUGUAAAGGGUGUGUAGGCGGGGAUGCAAGUCAGAUGUGAAAACCAUGGGCUCAACCCAUGAUGUGCAUUUGAAACUGCGUUUCUUGAGUGUGGGAGAGGUAAGCGGAAUUCCUAGUGUAGCGGUGAAAUGCGUAGAUAUUAGGAGGAACACCAGUGGCGAAGGCGGCUUACUGGACCACAACUGACGCUGAGACACGAAAGCGUGGGGAGC
RNAcentral lists this ribosomal RNA (247 nucleotides) under uncultured bacterium. RNAcentral describes it as "partial 16S ribosomal RNA". It matches the Rfam family "Bacterial small subunit ribosomal RNA", at positions 523 to 769 of the family's 1533-position model. The record is from RNAcentral.